Molecule: long non-coding RNA, 423 nt
Filed under: Solanum tuberosum (potato)
Lineage: Eukaryota; Viridiplantae; Streptophyta; Magnoliopsida; Solanales; Solanaceae
Description: long non-coding RNA (STUB_LNC006991)
Source: RNAcentral
UUUGAGGCGCUUAGUCAAAAGAACCAAGCUUGUACCCAGAAUAAAGAUGGCAGUGAUACAGAGGAUGAUAAUGAUGACGAUGGAGAUGCUGAGGAUCAGGAUGAUGACGAUGAUGCAAAUGAUGAAGAUUUCUCAGGUGAAGAAGGGGGAGAUGACGAAGAAGAAGAAGGAGAUCCUGAGGAGGAUCCUGCAGCUAAUGGCAACGAAGGGAGUGAUGACGAUGAUGAGGAUGAUGAGGAUGGUGAUGAAGGGGGUGAUGACGACGACGAUGAUGAUGAUGGUGAUGAGGAAGAGGAAGAAGACGAGGAGGAAGACGAGGAUCAACCACCUGCCAAAAAGAGAAAGUGAAGUGUUUGUUAGAUGUUUAUAUUCUGCUUCUCUAUCAUGGUUGAGGAGAGUAUGUAGUGGAAAGAGAAGGGGAGG